This 381-nucleotide ribosomal RNA is filed under the name Aurospio cf. dibranchiata TMG-2019. RNAcentral describes it as "partial large subunit ribosomal RNA". The stretch from base 51 to 381 matches the Rfam family "Bacterial large subunit ribosomal RNA", at positions 2048 to 2597 of the family's 2925-position model. The record is from RNAcentral. Lineage: Eukaryota; Metazoa; Annelida; Polychaeta; Spionida; Spionidae.
ACGGACACACGAAAACGCAACUUUCUUAUCGAGGAAAAUAAAAAUUAACCUUCAAGUGAAGAGACUUGAGUACCAUAAAAAGACGAAAAGACCCUAUGGAGCUUUACUUAAGUUAUUAAACCACAAAUAAAAAAAGCUUUUUUUACUAAAAAAGUUUAGUUGGGGCGACUAAGGAGCACACACCACCCUCCUACUGACAAAAGACUCUAAAUCUACAAAAGAUCCACAAACGUGAAUAAAAAUCCAGCUACCCUAGGGAUAACAGGCUAAUCCUCCUUAAGAGCUCAAAUUGACAGGAGGGCUUGGCACCUCGAUGUUGGCUUAAGAUCUCUACUAAGUGCAGCAGCUUAGGUAGUAGGUUUGUUCAACCUUUAAAAUCUU